Cygnus olor (mute swan) is the source of this 924-nucleotide long non-coding RNA. RefSeq lists it as uncharacterized. The record is from RefSeq and is a predicted model, not a curated record. Lineage: Eukaryota; Metazoa; Chordata; Aves; Anseriformes; Anatidae. The transcript has 4 exons.
UAACUCAGCCGAAAAAUGCCCACAAAAGGCAGGGGGUGGCGGGGAGGAGGAGAAAGAAAAAAAAAAAAAAUCGUUUCCUGUUGCUUUAAUCCCUUUAGUCGGACUUAAGUAACGUCGCCCAGGGCGCGCUAGCCGGGUGCCUGGUUGUGGAGGCCGGCAGCGAGAGGCCGCCGGUGACAGGCCGGCGGCUCGGCCUCGCUCCCCCGGCCGGGAGGCGCCGGGGUCGGGGGGCGGCGCGUCGGGGGCUUCCCGUGGGGGCUGCCCGCCGCCACCUCCGGCCUCUUGCAGCGCCAGCAGCGGAGAGGGGCCGGGCGGCUGUGGGGGAGAGGGGGCGAAGGCUACACACCCAGCAGCAGACCGUCCAUGUCAAAGAUGAGGUAAUUCACUCUUUGUCAUCAAGAUCAUCGGUUACAGGUCGAGACCCUGGUUGCACAAGCAGACGUGAUGGCAGCCACCUCAUGCUCCCAAGGUGCCACACUGACCUGAAGGCCUAUGCUGCUUUGGGACUCUGUGCCAAAGCGGCGGUGGAAAGGAAACCCUCACUUUUCCUGUAGGAAUGAGUUUCUGCUUUAAGAGCAUAAGCUGUUGUGGCAAAAGUUUCUAGAGGGCACCUUGGCAAAGAGGAUAAACAGAUUAUAAUCCAUUUUGGUUUGAAUAUUAAAAAAGAAUCUAGAGACAUGAAUAAAUCCAGUAAUUUAAAAGCUUUCAGAAUGAUUUACAUGAGCAGCUUUUAAAACCGUUAUUACUAACAAAUUACUUGGAAUGACUUGGAGUUAAAUGUUAUUUAAUUCAAGUAUUACCUGAGAUUCAUAACACUUGAUAUAGUUGAGCCUAUAAGCCCUCAGAAAAUGAAACUCCUCCCAGUGCUGGAUGUCACCACACAGGAGCUUUUCACCUUAAGAAUGUGAAUUAAAUUAAUUUUAC